RNAcentral lists this ribosomal RNA (497 nucleotides) under uncultured bacterium. Its description in RNAcentral is "partial 16S ribosomal RNA". It matches the Rfam family "Bacterial small subunit ribosomal RNA", at positions 28 to 507 of the family's 1533-position model. The record is from RNAcentral.
GAUGAACGCUGGCGGCGUGCCUAAUACAUGCAAGUCGAGCGAACGGACGAGAAGCUUGCUUCUCUGAUGUUAGCGGCGGACGGGUGAGUAACACGUGGAUAACCUACCUAUAAGACUGGGAUAACUUCGGGAAACCGGAGCUAAUACCGGAUAAUAUUUUGAACCGCAUGGUUCAACAGUGAAAGACGGUCUUGCUGUCACUUAUAGAUGGAUCCGCGCUGCAUUAGCUAGUUGGUAAGGUAACGGCUUACCAAGGCAACGAUGCAUAGCCGACCUGAGAGGGUGAUCGGCCACACUGGAACUGAGGCACGGUCCAGACUCCUACAGGAGGCAGCAGUAGGGAAUCUUCCGCAAUGGGCGAAAGCCUGACGGAGCAACGCCGCGUGAGUGAUGAAGGUCUUCGGAUCGUAAAACUCUGUUAUUAGUGAAGAACAUAUGUGUAAGUAACUGUGCACAUCUUGACGGUACCUAAUCAGAAAGCCACGGCUAACUACGUG